Molecule: long non-coding RNA, 6076 nt
Organism: Homo sapiens (human)
Lineage: Eukaryota; Metazoa; Chordata; Mammalia; Primates; Hominidae
Gene: PURPL
Product: p53 upregulated regulator of p53 levels
Source: Ensembl
CAGUAACCGAUUUUAACAUUGGAAUCUUUAAAAAAAUCAAAUCCAGCUGGUCAUGUAUAUCUCAUAGAUUGCAGGUCUUUUCCAUUGUAGACUGACUGCAAUUUGGAAAUGUGGAUUUGUCAACCAGGAAAUGUAUGAGAUAUGAAGAUGCUGUCUGAGAUAGUUGGUCCUUCAGAAAUCUAAUAGAGCAACAGUCUAGAUAUACUGAGGAAUAAUAGCUAUAUGUUAAUAAAUUCCAUAAUUGUUCUCAUAGGCUCAGUGUGAUUCAGCAUAGGAAACUCAUAAAACAUUGCUAUGGCCUUUAGAAGCCUGAAAUGCAAGUCUCCUUGAGCAACAGGCUACUGAAGAGAUCUCAGACUCUUACAAGUCCCGUCCAAUAGUGUAACACAUUUAUGUAUAUCCUAUAUCCAAUAAUGUAACUAAACUUAAACUACCCGAUAACUAAAAUUAUUUGGUAAAGCUCCUAUAUUUCAUCCACCUUAGAUAAAAUAAUGCUGGUUAAAUUUUCAUUUUGAAGAAUUGUUUGGUUAUUGGCUAAAUUUUAAUGAGCCAUGAUCUUAGUUUAGUAAAUUUUUAACAUAAAAUUAUGCUAAACAAGAUAUGAUAUAUAAACAAAAAGACUUUAAUUUCUUAGGCUUCUUUUUAUGGUGCACUUUGCCAUUUAAAAAUUAAAUUUUUUAUGCUAUAAAUUCAGUAAGGUCAUACAUACGUAAAACUUUCUAUAAUAGUCUCGAUUUUGAGAUGGCUUGAGGGUCAGAUGUAAGGAGAUUUUACAUAGGUUAGACUGUGAUUAGUAGACUGGAUUUUUUUUUUUUUUUUUUUUUUUUUUUUUUUUUUGAGUUGGAGUUUUGCUCUUGUUGCCCAGACUGGAGUGCAAUGGCAUUAUCUCAGCUCACUGCAACAUCCGCCUCCCGUGUUCAAGCAAUUCUCCUGCUUCAGUCUCCGAAGUAGCUGGGAUUACAAUAGACUGGAUUUUAUCAAGGAAUGUAUUUCUUCUAGAAAAUAGAUACACUUUCAAAGAUACGUUAAUUUACAUGAGAGCUUGCCUGUGUGCACAAUAGAAAGCCAAAAAUAAAGAGGUUAUCAUCUAAUGGCACAAAGUUUUCUUAUUUCAUAAGCUUGCAUUUUCUUUUCUUAUUAAACACCGUCUCACCUUUCUUUUUCAGGAAACACUUUCUGAAAAUGUCAGAACUCUUGAAAACAUGGAUGAGGAAAAGCAUAAGUACUGCUUUAUGCUUUUCUUAUGAAUUUUAAAAGAUGUAAUUUAAAGGUACUUUAAAGUGAUAUUUGUGCCCUUGUAACUGAUUCAAAGUAGACUGCUAAGGACAAUAAGUAAUAAGAGUCUACAAAUAUCAGUAAAUUAUGAGAAAAAACGGUCUAAUGGUACUUAAAAUUGCAUUGUGAUUUAUUAAAUAACAUUGAACAGCUCCACCUGUAACAUUAAGAUUCCAUUUGAGCAUAUAGAAAAUAUAUUUAUCGCAACCUGAAGUGAUUUGGAAAGUAUGCUGGGAAGAAAAUAUAUUUACAAAUUAGUCUCAGAGGGUAGGUAUCCUGUAGCCAGAUGGAAUAAGAAGAGAGGGAAGGGAGAUUUUGUUCAAAGGGGGAGCAUAAGCUAAGGAAUAAAGCCACAAACAAUGAUUAAAUUAGGUAAAGUGCAAUUAGCUGAAUAUUGCAUAAGCAUACAUAUGGGAAGAAGUGGAAAAAGGAGUGACAAUAUGAAGCUAAAGGGUUUGAAGUGUUCAAGAUAAUACUAGGCUUCCUAGCCUAUUCCGAGACAUCUUGUUUUAGAGUGCAAUAGAUAAGAACUCUAAGGAUGAAAGUAGGAGACAUGCAUUCUAGUCUACGUUUUGGUUAAUGGACUGAAAGUGAAAGAUGGACUGAAAUUGGGGGAUGGAAUAAAAAUGUGAUAGAAUAGAAAAUAGAAAAAGCAAUUAGCCUAAUGUCAUUGAUACUUAGAGAAAAUAUGGAAAAUAGUAAAUUAGUGAUAUAUAUCUUUUCUAAUUCACCAGGGUGAGUGAACAAAGGAAAUCGGAUUUAAAAGUAUUCAUGACAUAGAUGCAAUAAGGUUUCUCAGUCAGACAUAGCAAAUUGAGGGAAGGGAAGAUUUAGAGGAUUGGAAAAUGUCUUGCUUGUAGACUAAUAGGAUAUCAAUAAGCCAUAUGAGCAAUAAUUUGAAAUAGUUUUUGUAAAGUAUCAUGAAGGUAAACCCUGUUUAGAACAAAUUAGAUUUGAAGUACUUGUGACAAAUGCAAUUGACAAUGCCUUUAUGCAGCUGGAAAAUUGUUGCUUAGCAGAAAAGCUUGUGCUGGACAAAUAGAUGUCCAAAUUGAAUAGAUGUUUUCUUAAGCUGAACUAAUUGAGACAAAUAUCCUUAUUAAAUCAAAAAAUUAAAAAUUGAAAUAACUUACCUAUGAUAGGGUAAAUAAUGUUAUUAAUAUACACAAGAAAUAUGUGAUGUAUAUGUGUAUGUACAUAUGUAUACAUAGUAAUAAUACAUAGUGCUAUUUUUAAAUGAUAUUUUACAUAGUGCUUUUUUAAAUGAUUUUUCAAUCAUCGUUGUUGGUCUGUGUUAUUUUAAUCAUCAAAGCUGAUUGAUUUCUGUUUUUGUGUUUUUUUUUGUUUUUUUUGAGGUGGAGUCUCACUCUGUCACCCAUGGUGGAGUACAGUAGUGCGGUCUUAGCUCACUACAAACUCCACUUCCCUGAUUCAAGUAAUUCUUGUGCCUCAGCCUCUCGAGUAGCUUGGAUUGCAGGCAUGCACCACCACGAGCUGCUAAAUUUUUUGUAUUUUUUGUAGAGGGGUUUUGCCAUGUUGGCCAAGCUGGUCUCAAACUCCUGACCUCAAGUGAUCCGCCCUGGCUUCCCAAGCCCAGCUGAUUCCUGUUUAAAUAAAAACUUACAAAGAUCUUCCCACAAGUACUUUAUCUUACAAUUUACUGAACAAUAGAGGCAGUGAAGAUGUUUUUCAGAAAGCAAUUGUGAUCCUGACAUUUUCUUCUUAUAAUCCUGUGCUUUCCUCAUUUUUUUAUAUUAAAAGUAAUAGUUCUUGUGAUGGCAACUAGGAUUUGUAACAACAUGUACCCUCAUUUCCUGCAUGACCUUUUUUAUGUCACUUCUUCACAUGCAAAGUAUACUCCCUCAGUGUCAUUACAUUAUUUGAUUUUUGCCCUUUCCCUCACCUUUCCAUGUGUUUAUUUGCCUAUGCCCAUCUCCUAGUCACAUUUUAUCUAGUUAACGCCAACUUGACUUUCAAUGCUGUUCAAGAUUUACCUCAAUCUCAAGUGUUUUCUCUUUAUAUUCCAUACACGCUUAGCUUGGCUGCCAAUCCUCUUGGCUGCCAAAGAAUCCCAAAUUAUCUCUUUCAAAAAUACAAGAAAUAAAGGAUGGAGGAUAGGAAGGAGGGUGGUCAGGAAAGAACAAAGAAAGGAGGGGAGAGGAAAAAAAGAGAGAAAGAAAGAGAAUUAAAGUUAAGGAGGAAGAAUUUCACACUGAAUUAAAAUUGAUAAUAUUCAGGAAUGAUUUUAUAGUAGGCAUACAUUGAUAAAUAUUAGUUAAAUUAAUGAAUUAUUCCAAAAGAUCAUGAUUUGUAAAAAUUACCCUGAAGCACUUUAGGAAUAUUACAUUGAAAUAGGUAUGCAAUUUCUAAAGAAACUGGACUGCAAAAAUAGCCAUUGUGUGUACCUGUGGACCAGAAUAUUAUAUUUUGCUUAAGUUUGAAGUGUUAAAGUGCCCAACGUGCUCUUAUUUUAACCUAGCAAAUUUUCAGCAGAACUUAAGCUCAUAUAGUAUUUGAUUUUUUCAUUUCUCACAACUGUUGGAAUUCUGUUUUAUUGAAAAUUAUACAAUAAAAUGUUAAAAAAUCUUUGUUCCUGCAGUUAUGCAAUCUUAUGCCAAAGUCAAUAAAUUAUUAAAUUAAAAUCAAACCCACUAAGCCUAACAAUUUGAGAAAAUGAUUAUUAAAACAUAUACCAUUUAGAAGGGCAAUGCCUUUUUAAUAUUAUAGUGAAGACAACCCUAUCAAUUAUUUAAUACACCAAGAAUACAAGGAUAUAAAAUCUUUUUCUCUCAUAUAUCACAUUAUCUGAUGUAUUUAGCUGUGAUGACAUUCCAGAAAACAUCACUUUUUAAAAUUUCUAAGAUUUUAUUAUGUUGCUAGCAAAUCGAUUUUUUUCAAGUACUGUAACAAAAUCCCUAAAUGGGCUUUAUGAGAACUAUUUUCAGUGUGAUAUUAAUCAUAUUUUAUUUAUCAUCCAUACAUAGAUGGUAGCUUAUCUGGUAUUCCUAGUGUUUGAAGUGAAGAGUAACACACACACACAUCCCAAUACCAAUUUAAUUGAUAAAUAUAUAAUCAUUUGUUUUCAAAUAUUUAUGUUGAUACUUGCUUGUGUACUUACUUGUAAUGUAGGUCUGUAAAAGGGACUGUUUUCUUUCUGUGAAACUGAAGCUUAAAGCAGUGCUUGUCACAAAUUCAAAAUCACCUUGCUUUGUCAACAUUUUCAGAUGUUUUUGGCUCAGUCUGAUGACAGCAUCAGUGCAGUAAAGGGAUCUUAUUGAAAUGUUUUAACUAAAGAUAAAAUGCCACCACUAGGAGAAAAAUAAAAUCAAGGAAAUAAACAGAAAAUCAAUAAAUGUGAAAUGUAUUAUAAAUUUAUAUAAUAACAAUGUUGUAUGCUAUAAACAUCUCACUUUGUAAAAUUAACAAGAAUUCAGUGAGGCAGAUCAUUUUCUAUGUGUUCAGAAGUCAAGUCUUUGAUGGCUAAUUUUUAUAUUACUUCAUUACAAUAUCUCUACUGAAGCAAAAUAAUUGCAAAUCUUUUUGAAUGAAAUCAAUUUAUCUUUAAUUUUAGAUAAUAUUUGGUAUAGUUGGCAUAGUUUUGUCACAAAGCAUAGCUAACAUCAAUGUAGCCUUACGACUUCAAAUGUCUUUAUAGAUCUUUUCUGAAAUUGCAAAAUUUUACUUUGAAAUUAUUGUUAAUAUUUACGUUGCACAACCACAAAUGUAGAAAUAAAAUUAUAAAGUCUCCAGAUAAUGUUUUAUUUUAACCACACAUAUGUUGUGAUAGUUUCAAAUAAAUGAAAGCUCUACUGAUUUAUCAUUUUCAACAUCUUUACAUUAUUUAAGUAAUAUUAAUUAUAUUUAUGUAAAAAUACCUGAAUAGUCAUAACGAAAAUUUAAUAAUAAUGUAUAAUAUAUUGUUAACAUCUUUUAUUUUCACAAAAACACCAAGGAAGAAGCAGUGAGUAUUUUUUAUUUAUUUUAAAAAUUAACUUUUCAAUAAAUUAUUUAGGAAUGACUGGAAAUGUGCUGAGACAAAGAAGCAGUUGUCACUGUACACAAACAUGAAAUCAAUUACCUUUUGGAGAGUUUAUGAUGUGUGAGAGCUAGUGAAGUUACAUUGCAGAAGAGCAUAUAAGGAAAUCCAGAUCUGUAUAUAUUGUAGUAUAGUUUUAGUAUAAAUCUCUAAGAUUACACUUUAGACUAAGCCACAUAGUCAAACUGUUGUCUAUUUAUUCCUUUUGAAGAUUGAAACUCCCACAACUUUGGCAGACCAACUCCUCAGAAAACAUUAUUCUUUGACAUCAAUAUGUUUUGCACAAAAUUGAAUGGCAAGUGAAAGGCAUCAAAUGAUGGAGUCUUGUUCUGUGGUCCAGGCUAGAGGGCAGUGGCAUGAUCUCGGCUCACUACAAGCUCUGCCUCCCGGGUUCACGCCAUUCUCCUGCCUCAGCCUCCUGAGUAGCUGGGACUACAGGCGCCCGCCACCACGCCUGGCUAAUUUUUUGUAUAUUUACUAGAGAUGGCUAGUGUUAGCCAAGAUGGUCUCGAUCUCCUGACCUCGUGAUCUGCCCACCUCAGCCUGCCAAAGUGCUGGGAUUACUGGCGUGAGCCACCGUGCCUGGCCAGCAUCCUCUAAUUAUUAUUCAUAGUUUGUGAAUUUAGGCCUACGUGAAUAAUAAUAUAAUAUUUACUAUGAUGUUACUAUCUACCAACCUUAUUUUUCUUUUCUAUAAAAUAGGAGCCAAAAUAAUAUUUAUGUCAUACCUUAUGAAGUUAAAAUAAAAUAUAACGAAUGAGGGGC